UACGUAGGGUGCAAGCGUUGUCCGGAAUUAUUGGGCGUAAAGAGCUCGUAGGCGGUCUGUCGCGUCUGCUGUGAAAACUCAGGGCUUAACCCUGAGCUUGCAGUGGGUACGGGCAGACUAGAGUGCGGUAGGGGAGACUGGAAUUCCUGGUGUAGCGGUGAAAUGCGCAGAUAUCAAGAGGAACACCUGAGGUGAAGACGGGUUGCUGGGCCGACACUGACGCUGAGUGCGCGAAAGCCAGGGGAGCAAACGGG
Molecule: ribosomal RNA, 254 nt
Filed under: uncultured bacterium
Lineage: Bacteria
Description: partial 16S ribosomal RNA
Rfam family: Bacterial small subunit ribosomal RNA
Source: RNAcentral